AUGAGUAUAAGUUAGUAGAUCAGGUAGCUGCAGGAUUUGAAUCAUCCCUCUGUUGGUGGUGUACAGUAAACAAAAAUGUUGAUCGUAUUAAUUACAUACAUUACAACAUCCAAAGGCUAGGCAAUUGGACUCAGCAGGGUUUUGAAGCUGUACAUGGUCAACUGGCUGCAACCAGCCUGAUGGCUUUCCAAAAUCGUAUUGCCAUUGAUAUGUUACUCUCUGAGAAGGGCGGAGUUUGCUCUAUGUUUGGUGACCAGUGUUGUACUUUCAUCCCCAAUAACACAGCUUCGGACGGUAGCUUGUCGGCCGCUUUGGAGGGUCUGCGGACGCUUAAUGGUAAAAUGAAAUCUCAUUCUGGGAUAGAUUCCUCGAUGUGGGACUCCUGGAUGAGUGCGUUUGGUAAAUAUAAAACCCUGGUUUCCUCCAUUUUGGUCUCCAUUUCGGUGUUUGCUGCCAUCUUAGUUCUCUGUGGAUGCUGUUGCAUUCCAUGUAUCCGGUCCCUUACUACUAGAGUUAUCUCUAAAGCUAUUUACCCUGCCUCCCCUUCCCAGAUGUAUCCUCUGCUUGCUAAUGACCUGCCAGAGUUUGAGGAUGAGGUGGAGAAUACCCUUUAGAGAGUGUCACAUCUCUUUGGAGAUGUGAAGAGAGGGUAUCACAACUUUUUCCGGCUGGAAAAAGUUGGCUUAUGUAGAAUAUAAUUUUUACUUUCAUUUUGAGCUGUUGUUCUCCGCUCUGUUACAUGAGGGUUGUAAGUUCCUAGGUAACUUAGUACAUAGUGGGAUUGAGUGGAGAACAUGGUGGGAAUACAUAUACAUCCAUUUCUUUUUAAUGUUGUGCCUUUUUCAUAGCCCCUUUGGGAAAAGUUUUCUUUUGUAUCAGAAUCUAGUUAGGUUGUGUCACGUCUCUGGGGAGACGUGAAGAGAGGGAUUUGUAGAGGACUGCUAAUUCCUAUGUAGGUGACAUUACACUACUAUAGCUGAGACAACGUAUUUUCAUAGUAAAACAGGUUGGGCCCCAUACAGGAUAUUUCUCACACACACACACUCACUCAAAUCAUCCAGAACACUGUCACAACAGGAUACUCCUAGCCACAGGUGCUAGCCGGCAGUUCGGCCACAACUCCCCUGAAGAUGGGGACGCACACACAUUACACACUGACCCCAGAAGACAGGGACGACGCACAUACAGUACACACAUAGCUGCCGAGGACACCCAGAUAAGACACCCACAGAUUGGCAGAAAGCCUAGACUUAGAGACAAACUAGCACACACACAUAAUCUCCCUCCCAGCCGAACAUUGUGUGACUGAAGAUAGGGCACACACCAGAUCUCCUUUUCAGCUGAACAUGGUGUGACGACCAAGAACAGGCAUGGCAGGAUUCUACGAUGACGGACAGACAACAGAGCCAAUGCCGGAUGACUACACCCCAGCCUGAUCCAAUCCGAAGAUCCGAUCUCCUAGAAAUCAACCUACUUUCUGUUGUGUAUAUGAAGCUUGUACUCACUGUUAGCAAGGUUCCUUUUUGCUAGUCUCUGAUGAGCUAACAGAGGGGCCCGUAUAUACGCUGUACCAGAUAUCUUCACUCUGAAUAAACCUGUCGCUUGUCGUACAAUCUA
Molecule: long non-coding RNA, 1617 nt
Organism: Oncorhynchus nerka (sockeye salmon)
Lineage: Eukaryota; Metazoa; Chordata; Actinopteri; Salmoniformes; Salmonidae
Exons: 2
Source: RefSeq, a predicted model, not a curated record